AAUAAUAUGAUGGUCAGAUGCUAUACUGAUAAGAAAAAAUUAGUGAUUAAAAAUCAAAACUUGCUUCAUGCUUAUUGCUCUACUUAUUCACAAGCAUAAAAAUAACCUACGCUAAAAAACUGCUCAUUUGCAGGCUGAUCUGAUCUCCUUAUUCACCAAGUAUUUUCUUAGAAACUGGGAUGGAAUUUCCUUAAAGUUCUGAGUUCUGCAGAGAAAGUCGUGUAGAACAGGACGUGUGAGGUUUUCAACACCCCUCUGUUCUAAGCACCUUUCUGCUAUCAGAGUUUGGGCAGCCUGGGCUGUUACACCACAACCUUCUUCACCCUCAGGAAAGGAUACAAACAUCCUGGAAGUUUCUGAUCCAACAUAUUCAAGCAAAUAACACAAGGUUCUGAAUGACACUGGUGUUUCACUCCCUGUACAUUAAUUAGCCUAAUUCAUCAUCUUCUACUUUUCAAUUCUAAUGUUUCCAAAACUCAGUGAGGUGAGUCUGGAGCUACAUUGGAGCUUGCCACUGAACUGUGCCACAGAAGAUUAAUGAUUAAGUACACCUAUUAAACCAAGACAAAUGCAAUUUGCUGAGCCUGCUACUUGGACUGGCCUUUAUGCUCACAAGCGGCAAACCAAGAAGAAAAACCACCUACAUCUUGAAGUUCAUGGAAAAGAAAAACAACCUGUAUGUCCCUACACGAGUUGCAAAUUCUACAUAAAAGUAAACUCCCAUCUUCAUCAGAAGCUUCUCUUAAGUACCAAAAUAGAUACAGGUCUAGGAAAAAGCAGUCUUUUCCUUACUGAAGGAAAACAAGCUUGAAUUGUUGCUUAUUCAUGCAUUCGCUCACUCGUUUAUUCAGGAAUCACAUAUGGCCUGCCUCCUGUAACCAUGAAGAACUGCACUCACUUUAGAAAAGUGAAAAGGUGACAGUGGAGAUGAAGGGGAAAUAAAAUUCCAAGC
Molecule: long non-coding RNA, 952 nt
Organism: Zalophus californianus (California sea lion)
Lineage: Eukaryota; Metazoa; Chordata; Mammalia; Carnivora; Otariidae
Exons: 4
Source: RefSeq, a predicted model, not a curated record